GAUGAACGCUGGCGGCGUGCCUAAUACAUGCAAGUCGAGCGAACAGACGAGGAGCUUGCUCCUCUGACGUUAGCGGCGGACGGGUGAGUAACACGUGGAUAACCUACCUAUAAGACUGGGAUAACUUCGGGAAACCGGAGCUAAUACCGGAUAAUAUAUUGAACCGCAUGGUUCAAUAGUGAAAGACGGUUUUGCUGUCACUUAUAGAUGGAUCCGCGCCGCAUUAGCUAGUUGGUAAGGUAACGGCUUACCAAGGCGACGAUGCGUAGCCGACCUGAGAGGGUGAUCGGCCACACUGGAACUGAGACACGGUCCAGACUCCUACGGGAGGCAGCAGUAGGGAAUCUUCCGCAAUGGGCGAAAGCUUGACGGAGCAACGCCGCGUGAGUGAUGAAGGUCUUCGGAUCGUAAAACUCUGUUAUUAGGGAAGAACAAAUGUGUAAGUAACUAUGCACGUCUUGACGGUACCUAAACAGAAAGCCACGGCUAACUACGUG
This 497-nucleotide ribosomal RNA is filed under the name uncultured bacterium. RNAcentral describes it as "partial 16S ribosomal RNA". It matches the Rfam family "Bacterial small subunit ribosomal RNA", at positions 28 to 507 of the family's 1533-position model. The record is from RNAcentral.